GACGAACGCUGGCGGCGUGCCUAAUACAUGCAAGUAGAACGCACAGUUUAUACCGUAGCUUGCUACACCAUAGACUGUGAGUUGCGAACGGGUGAGUAACGCGUAGGUAACCUGCCUGGUAGCGCGUGAUAACUAUUGGACACGAAACCUAAUACCGCAUAAUAUUAAUUAUUGCAUGAUAAUUAAUUGAAAGGUUCAAUUGCAUCACUACCACCUGGACCUGCGUUGUAUUAGCUAGUAGGUGAGGUAACGGCUCACCUAGGCGAAGAUACAGAGCCGAACUGGGAGGGUUGACGGCCACGCUGGGAAUGGGACACGGCCCAGACUCCCUCAGGGAGCAGCAGGAGGGAAACUUUGGGAAUGGACGGAAGUCUGAACGGGCAACGCCGCGUGGGGGGAGAAGGUUUUCGGAUCGUAAAGAUCUGGUGUAAGGGAAGAACGGAUGGGAGAGGUGAAAGUUCACGCUGUGACGGUACCUUACCAGAAAGGGACGGCUAACUACGUG
This 505-nucleotide ribosomal RNA is filed under the name uncultured bacterium. Its description in RNAcentral is "partial 16S ribosomal RNA". It matches the Rfam family "Bacterial small subunit ribosomal RNA", at positions 28 to 507 of the family's 1533-position model. The record is from RNAcentral.